UCAAGAAACUUCCACAAUGGGCGAAAGCCUGAUGGAGCGACGUCGCGUGAUGGACGAAGUGCUUCGGCACGUAAACAUCUUUUAUGUGGGAUGAAAUUAUUGACAGUACCACAUGAAUAAGGGGCUCCUAACUCUGUGCCAGCAGGAGCGGUAAUACAGAGGCCCCAAGCGUUAUCCGGAAUCACUGGGCGUAAAGGGUGUCGAGGCGGUUGUAUUAGUCGUUCGUAAAAUCUACGAGCUUAACUUGUAGGCGGCGAACGAAACGGUACGACUUGAGGUUUGGAGAGGUGCGUGGAACUCACGGUGUAGGGGUGAAAUCCGUUGAUAUCGUGGGGAACACCAAAGGCGAAGGCAGCGCACUGGCCAAAAUCUGACGCUCACACACGAAAGCUAGGGUAGCGAAGAGGAUUAGAUACCCGAGUAGUCCCUGAGCGGGCUGGCAAGGCGCAU
RNAcentral lists this ribosomal RNA (450 nucleotides) under uncultured bacterium. Its description in RNAcentral is "bacterial SSU rRNA". It matches the Rfam family "Bacterial small subunit ribosomal RNA", at positions 355 to 825 of the family's 1533-position model. The record is from RNAcentral.